AUUGAACGCUGGCGGCAGGCUUAACACAUGCAAGUCGAGCGGAGUGAUGGUGCUUGCACUAUCACUUAGCGGCGGACGGGUGAGUAAUGCUUAGGAAUCUGCCUAUUAGUGGGGGACAACAUCUCGAAAGGGAUGCUAAUACCGCAUACGUCCUACGGGAGAAAGCAGGGGAUCACUUGUGACCUUGCGCUAAUAGAUGAGCCUAAGUCGGAUUAGCUAGUUGGUGGGGUAAAGGCCUACCAAGGCGACGAUCUGUAGCGGGUCUGAGAGGAUGAUCCGCCACACUGGGACUGGAACACGGCCCAGACUCCUACGGGAGGCAGCAGUGGGGAAUAUUGGACAAUGGGGGGAACCCUGAUCCAGCCAUGCCGCGUGUGUGAAGAAGGCCUUAUGGUUGUAAAGCACUUUAAGCGAGGAGGAGGCUCUUUUGGUUAAUACCCAAGAUGAGUGGACGUUACUCGCAGAAUAAGCACCGGCUAACUCUGUGCCAGCAGCCGCCGUAA
This 503-nucleotide ribosomal RNA is filed under the name uncultured bacterium. RNAcentral's name for it is "partial 16S ribosomal RNA". It matches the Rfam family "Bacterial small subunit ribosomal RNA", at positions 30 to 523 of the family's 1533-position model. The record is from RNAcentral.